RNAcentral lists this ribosomal RNA (253 nucleotides) under uncultured bacterium. RNAcentral describes it as "partial 16S ribosomal RNA". It matches the Rfam family "Bacterial small subunit ribosomal RNA", at positions 524 to 776 of the family's 1533-position model. The record is from RNAcentral.
UACGUAGGGCGCAAGCGUUGUCCGGAAUUAUUGGGCGUAAAGAGCUCGUAGGCGGUCUGUCGCGUCCGUUGUGAAAACUCGAGGCUCAACCUCGGGCUUGCAGUGGAUACGGGCAGACUAGAGUGCGGUAGGGGAGACUGGAAUUCCUGGUGUAGCGGUGGAAUGCGCAGAUAUCAGGAGGAACACCGAUGGCGAAGGCAGGUCUCUGGGCCGCAACUGACGCUGAGGCACGAAGGCCAGGGGAGCAAACGGG